This 253-nucleotide ribosomal RNA is filed under the name uncultured bacterium. Its description in RNAcentral is "partial 16S ribosomal RNA". It matches the Rfam family "Bacterial small subunit ribosomal RNA", at positions 524 to 776 of the family's 1533-position model. The record is from RNAcentral.
UACGUAGGGUGCGAGCGUUGUCCGGAAUUAUUGGGCGUAAAGAGCUCGUAGGCGGCCUGUUGCGUCUGCUGUGAAAGCCCGGGGCUCAACCCCGGGUCUGCAGUGGAUACGGGCAGGCUAGAGUCCGGCAGGGGAGACUGGAAUUCCUGGUGUAGCGGUGAAAUGCGUAGAUAUCGGGAGGAACACCAGUGGCGAAGGCGACUACCUGGCCUGUUCUUGACGCUGAGGCGCGAAAGCUAGGGGAGCAAACGGG